Thalassophryne amazonica is the source of this 1725-nucleotide long non-coding RNA. RefSeq lists it as uncharacterized. The transcript is spliced from 2 exons. The record is from RefSeq and is a predicted model, not a curated record. Lineage: Eukaryota; Metazoa; Chordata; Actinopteri; Batrachoidiformes; Batrachoididae.
AAAAAGGAGUUAUAUUUAUUCUCUUAUGUGAUCAUGAGUGCCCUUUGAGUGUAACAUGAAUUACCAGUUUGUCAUCUAUCACUUCCUUUAAGAGUCGUGUGCACUUGAACCUGGUGCAUUUCAGUUUAGACGAAUGACUCAGUAAGUGGCAGAAGUGAGAGGUUUUCUGGCAAAGAAACAGGUGUGCAUGCAAAAUGUCAUUUCAUUUUUUGUUUUUGUUUUCAAUCCAGUGAUCAGGAAUCUGAGUGCUAACACACAUCCCUGGGUGUAAGCAGAAUGAGGGAGUCUGUGUAAUGCAUAUCUGAAUAGUGCAUCGUAUAAAUAACAGAAAAACUGAGCUUGACUUUAAACUAGGUUUUUGGCAGCCUAUGGUGCAAAUAUAAUCACUUCCUGCUUCCUUAUGAUCGCACUGCACCAACAUUCCAGUUGAUGACGCCUCAUUUUAACAUGAGCAGACCCACUGGUGGAAACUAGCAAUAACUCAUGCACCAUGCUGUGCACAGCUUUGCAUCAGGUGUAUGAUUGGACCCCAAAUAUUGGUCAUUAGCAUGUACUUGGGUGAUUUCCCAGACACCAAUUAAUUGUGACCUUGAAGACAAUUUCAAGGUUACAGUGAGAUCUUGAAGAUAUUGUCAUUGCCACCCUUGUGAAUGCAAUAUCUCAAGAACCAGUUGACCAAUUUCAUUCAUAUAAUCAUAAGGGUGUACUUGGAUGAUCCCCCGACACCAGUCCAUUACGGUGACCUUGGGGUUAAUUUCAAGGCCACAGCCAGAUAUUCAAGAUAUUGUCAUUGCCACUCUUGUUCGCGUGACAUCUCAAGAACCACUUGACGAAUGUCAGUCAUAUUUAGCAUAAGGGUAUACUUGGAUGAUCAUCGGACACCAUUAAAUUAUGGUGACCUUGAAGUCAAUUUUGAGGUCAAUUUCAAGGUCACUGCAAGAUAUUGAUGAUGUUGUCAUUGCAUCCUUGUUAGUGCAACAUCUCAAGAACCAGUUGACCAAUUUCAUUCAUAUUUGGCAUAAGGGUUUACUUGGGUGAUCUCCCAACACUUUGUAUUAUUGAUUUGUGGGGGCUGGGAGGAUAUGUCGUCUCCUGAUGACUCUUGUCUGGGUGGUUGUCAUUCAGGACCAAAGGAGGUUCCACGGUGUGGUGCAUGUGUCUAAAUGUGACACCCGCACAUGCUCCAAGACCUGACCGGAUCUUUUAUUUUGUUGAUGAAUGGACAGAGGGCUACACGAGACCAAAACCAAUACUCCUGAAUUUCCUACUAUUCCAUGCCUUCUUCUGCCACUAUUCCCACCCAUGACUUCAGGCAUCCAGAUGAUUUCAAUGCCUCACUGCCGCCAGCUAACGUUUAAGUUUUUCUUGACUUUAUCGUGUGAUGUCACGGACAUCAGAGGUCUGAUCCAGAGAAGAACACUUUUUCAAUGCAUGGCCUAGUUCCUGAGAUAAGGUGAUCAAUGCAUUUCAGAAGAUGACCUCUGAUUUGUCCUUGACCUUUGACCUUUACAGGACCUGGGUUGUAAGAGCACAGUCCACUGUGCCAAAUCUGACAGAAACUGUGUUUUGAACAUUUCCCCUCUGAGUGGCGGUCAACCGUCCAGUCCAGGAGCCACUGGUGUAGACGAUUACAAGCUACUUUAAAAAUGCUGUUCUGCUGUACUGUUCCUUCACUGCACCUUUUAUCCUGAAAAUUUAUAUUUCAAAAUAAAUUCAUGAUGUGAU